Molecule: long non-coding RNA, 2025 nt
Organism: Esox lucius (northern pike)
Lineage: Eukaryota; Metazoa; Chordata; Actinopteri; Esociformes; Esocidae
Source: Ensembl
AGGGAAGUCUGGGCAUCCCUGCUUAGACUGCUGCCCCCGCGACCCGGCCCCGGAUAAGCGGAAGAUGAUGCUAUGCUAUGCUAUGCUAGGCUCUGCUUACCUUUAUCAUGUGCCGGCUCAGAACCUGUGAAUCUCGUAUAGGUUGUCUGGACCGGGUCGAAUUCCUUCUCCUUUAUUCCAUCUCGGACGAGCCCACAAAAUUGUUGAAGUCUAACACUUCCCCGAGUUUGAUGGAAAGGAGAAUAACACACCAGGAGUCAGGUCAAUUACCUUACCGUAUAUUCCAUUUAUUACAGAAGCUUCUGGAGUGUCGCCGCACAAUGUCUGAAUAUUAACAGUCACAUUAGCAUUAUUUAUACUUCAAACACGCCUAAAAGUGGGGGGUUGAGGUAACCAAGCAUGUGUGCCAUUGGUCCAGUUUAUGUUCUAUACCUUAUAUGUGUAAAUGCAGCACAAACGUCAUCUUUGCUCUUUGUGGUUUCAGUCUUGAAUUCUUAAUUCAGCCCUGCCCAGAUGUGUGUGUGUGUUGUUAAUCUGUCCCUUCUGUUUCCUGUAGUCUGACACACAAGCUCAAUGUGCUCUUGUUCCCCAGCAACAGCCUACAUAAGAUUUCCUGUUUUCUACUUGCAACUUUAAGUUCCAGCUAUGCUACAGACAUUUAACAUUUUGCUUCAAUGCUCACAACAGUUUGACAGCUAAUACACUCAAUGUAUCCACGGGUUGCUUACUAUUUUUGUUUGUUCGUUUAUCCUCAAGUUUGGAUGUUUUGUGCUUCUUCGCAUAUCAACAGUUGAACAGGUGUAUGGUAACAUUGUUACCUAAUUUGUCUAAAUCGUGUUUCUUAGUGUAUCAACAAGCUAGAAUUUUAUAAUAUGUGCUUACUCCUUGUAAUUUUUAUCAACUAAUAUGUAACGUUAGCUAAAUCGUGUUUCUUUGUGUAACGUUAUCCACAUCAUGUGGAUACGUUACUCUUGGCAGUAAAUUUAGAUAGACUAGCUAAACCUGGACUUGUUGCAAUUCCGUUACUGAGGCGUCUUUGUGAAUCCCCAUUGUUCUUAGCUAGCCUGUAUGUGUCUUAUGCUGCUGUUUUUUUAAACCACUUUUAUAAACAAUGCUUUCAGGUGAUUACGUUUUCUGUAGUUUUGUUCCCGGAGGAGGAUGACUGUGUGGCAGUAGUUCCAUGCUUGUGGCUCAAAGUAGGACUUUGCUACUGGCCACCAAACAGCAUCACCAACAGGAAGUCCUUCAGGUGGUGAACAAGUUCUGGCAAACUUGUUGUGGCCGAAGACACCUGGGAGGCUGUCCCUUGUGGAAUCUGAGCAUUAACAAUUACAAUAUGAAUACACGUGAGAGACCGGGCGUGUGUAUCGCCAAAGGAGUGAAAAUCGUUCCAGCGUGGGCCCCUACCACCCCAAGGACGCACAUCUACAACACAACACCCUGUGGAUUGUAGCCCUGGAGGAUGGAGCAAGCACAGUACUCCAAGGCACCAGAGAGGUACUCCACGCCAUCAUGUAGAGGACGGCUACAUAGAACAUUUGGAGAAGAUCAAGUGGCUGACUGAAGAGAAGGUCGAGCUGGCUCUACAAUCUGCUUCUGAUAAACGUCUGACUGAAAAGAAUGUCAAGCCGAGGGUACAGCUGGCUCUACAAUCAUGAGCCAUAAUGAAGAAUCCUUCAAACCACUGAUGCCACUGAUGAGGCUGUCCACAACCAGGUCCUCAGGUACCAGAAAGGGGCAGCUGACCAUGCAAGUGGGAGAUGUCGCAGCGGUACAAGGGACCCGCCGUGAAUAUGAAUGACAUCUCCAGCACAACCAAUAUUGCUGCUAAGCUGCAGUACUGUAUUUCUUUAUUUUUUUUGCUGCUAUGUACAGUGUUAUAUAUAUGAUUGCAUUAUCCUCUUAAUAUAUUUAUAGCGCUGUGUGAAUGUUCUUAAUUCUGAUUGUGGUUGUAGUGUUAUGCCACCAUUCAUAAGCGUAUUGCACUGAUGUAUCUAUGAUAUUCAAUAACUAUUGAUUGCUGCU